This 74-nucleotide transfer RNA is filed under the name Fusobacterium necrogenes. It matches the Rfam family "tRNA". From Rfam's summary of the family: Transfer RNA (tRNA) molecules are approximately 80 nucleotides in length. Lineage: Bacteria; Fusobacteriati; Fusobacteriota; Fusobacteriia; Fusobacteriales; Fusobacteriaceae. The record is from Rfam by way of RNAcentral.
GACCCCGUAGCUCAAUUGGAUAGAGCAAUUCCCUCCUAAGGAAUAGGUUGUGUGUUCAAACCACAUCGGGGUCG